UUUCCGUAGGUGAACCUGCGGAAGGAUCAUUCAUAAUCAGUGUUUUAUGGCACUUUUUUAAAUCCAUAUCCACCUUGUGUGCAAUGUCAGGGUUGAUUUUUCUCUCGAGAGGAUCAACCCCAAACAUCAACUAUAUCUCAACUCUUUGUCUGAAAAAUAUUAUGAAUAAAACAAUUCAAAAUACAACUUUCAACAACGGAUCUCUUGGCUCUC
Molecule: unclassified non-coding RNA, 213 nt
Filed under: plant metagenome
Description: partial contains small subunit ribosomal RNA, internal transcribed spacer 1, and 5.8S ribosomal RNA
Source: RNAcentral